CUAGAAAUUCACCAUCAGUUUUUGUGAUAGGUUAUUUUGGUUGCUUAUGUAACAUUAGAAAUCUUAACUGUAUUCCAAAUUAUACGUUAUUAUUUAAAAUUAAAGUCGACUAAUAAAUUAAUAACAUGUUGCUGAACAGAAGUUCAUUAUUUGCAAGAAACAUUAUAACCAAUUAUGUUAGAAAUCAUCAUGGAGGUACACCUGGUGAGAAUUUACCAUUUCAACUUGGAAACCCUUACCGACUAACUGCAUGGUUUAUUGUGUUUUUCGGAUCAGGGCUUGCAGCACCUUACUUUGUUGUUAGAUAUCAACUUACCAAAAAUUAAUUGUUUUUUAUAAUGUGCUGUAGUGUGUUACGAUGUAUACCUUAGUGUUAAUUGUCUAAAUACAUAUAACAAAAAUAUUGUCAAUAUGUGUACCUAUGUAUGACCUUGUCUGAAAUGUACUUGUUAUGUGGAAACUUCAAGAAAACAUUAAUUGAUGUUUUUCAGGCCGAAGAAAAUGACUAUUGCAUUAUAAA
This is a long non-coding RNA of Agrilus planipennis (emerald ash borer), 520 nucleotides long. RefSeq lists it as uncharacterized. NCBI's taxonomy places the organism in Eukaryota, Metazoa, Arthropoda, Insecta, Coleoptera, Buprestidae. The record is from RefSeq and is a predicted model, not a curated record. The transcript is spliced from 2 exons.